AAGAGCUUGCUCUUAUGAAGUUAGCGGCGGACGGGUGAGUAACACGUGGGUAACCUGCCCAUAAGACUGGGAUAACUCCGGGAAACCGGGGCUAAUACCGGAUAACAUUUUGAACCGCAUGGUUCGAAAUUGAAAGGCGGCUUCGGCUGUCACUUAUGGAUGGACCCGCGUCGCAUUAGCUAGUUGGUGAGGUAACGGCUCACCAAGGCAACGAUGCGUAGCCGACCUGAGAGGGUGAUCGGCCACACUGGGACUGAGACACGGCCCAGACUCCUACGGGAGGCAGCAGUAGGGAAUCUUCCGCAAUGGACGAAAGUCUGACGGAGCAACGCCGCGUGAGUGAUGAAGGCUUUCGGGUCGUAAAACUCUGUUGUUAGGGAAGAACAAGUGCUAGUUGAAUAAGCUGGCACCUUGACGGUACCUAACCAGAAAGCCACGGCUAACUACGUGCCAGCAGCCGCGGUAAUACGUAGGUGGCAAGCGUUAUCCGGAAUUAUUGGGCGUAAAGCGCGCGCAGGUGGUUUCUUAAGUCUGAUGUGAAAGCCCACGGCUCACCCGUGGAGGGUCAUUGGAAACUGGGAGACUUGAGUGCAGAAGAGGAGAGUGGAAUUCCAUGUGUAGCGGUGAAAUGCGUAGAGAUAUGGAGGAACACCAGUGGCGAAGGCGACUUUCUGGUCUGUAACUGACACUGAGGCGCGAAAGCGUGGGGAGCAAACAGGAUUA
This 723-nucleotide ribosomal RNA is filed under the name Bacillus tropicus. Its description in RNAcentral is "bacterial SSU rRNA". It matches the Rfam family "Bacterial small subunit ribosomal RNA", at positions 74 to 780 of the family's 1533-position model. Lineage: Bacteria; Bacillati; Bacillota; Bacilli; Caryophanales; Bacillaceae. The record is from RNAcentral.